CCCUUAGAUGUUCUGGGCCGCACGCGCGCUACACUGACGAAGUCAGCGAGCAUGUCCUACGCCGACAGGUGCGGGGAAUCUUGUCAAACUUCGUCGUGAUGGGGAUUGAUUUUUGAAAUUCUUGAUCAUAAACGAGGAAUUCCUAGUAAGCGCAAGUCAGCAGCUUGCGUUGAUUACGUCCCUGCCCUUUGUACACACCGCCCGUCGCUACUACCGAUUGAAUGGUUUAGUGAGAUCUUCGGAUUGGCGCCACUGCAGCUCAGCAAUGGGCUAGGUGGAUGCCGAAAAGUUGAUCAAACUUGAUCAUUUAGAGGAAGUAAAAGUCGUAACA
Molecule: ribosomal RNA, 331 nt
Filed under: uncultured eukaryote
Lineage: Eukaryota
Description: partial 18S ribosomal RNA
Rfam family: Eukaryotic small subunit ribosomal RNA
Source: RNAcentral